This 468-nucleotide ribosomal RNA is filed under the name uncultured bacterium. Its description in RNAcentral is "partial 16S ribosomal RNA". It matches the Rfam family "Bacterial small subunit ribosomal RNA", at positions 28 to 507 of the family's 1533-position model. The record is from RNAcentral.
GACGAACGCUGGCGGCGUGCUUAACACAUGCAAGUCGAACGGAAAGGCCCUGCUUUUGUGGGGUGCUCGAGUGGCGAACGGGUGAGUAACACGUGAGUAACCUGCCCUUGACUUUGGGAUAACUUCAGGAAACUGGGGCUAAUACCGGAUAGGAGCUCCUGCUGCAUGGUGGGGGUUGGAAAGUUUCGGCGGUUGGGGAUGGACUCGCGGCUUAUCAGCUUGUUGGUGGGGUAGUGGCUUACCAAGGCUUUGACGGGUAGCCGGCCUGAGAGGGUGACCGGCCACAUUGGGACUGAGCUACGGCCCAGACUCCUACGGGAGGCAGCAGUGGGGAAUAUUGCACAAGGGGCGGAAGCCUGAUGCAGCAACGCCGCGUGCGGGAUGACGGCCUUCGGGUUGUAAACCGCUUUCGCCUGUGACGAAGCGUGAGUGACGGUAAUGGGUAAAGAAGCACCGGCUAACUACGUG